RNAcentral lists this small RNA (142 nucleotides) under Macaca fascicularis (crab-eating macaque). Its description in RNAcentral is "Metazoan signal recognition particle RNA (ENSMFAG00000063639.1)". Lineage: Eukaryota; Metazoa; Chordata; Mammalia; Primates; Cercopithecidae. The record is from Rfam by way of RNAcentral.
GCUGGGCAUGGUGGCGUGUGCCUGUAAUCCCAGCUACAGGGAGGCGGAGGCAGGAGAAUCACUUGAACUCGGGAGACAGAGGUUGCGGUGAGAUUGCACCACCGCACUACAGCCUGGGCAACAGAGUGAGACUCUGUCUCUU